Molecule: long non-coding RNA, 274 nt
Filed under: Gossypium barbadense (sea-island cotton)
Lineage: Eukaryota; Viridiplantae; Streptophyta; Magnoliopsida; Malvales; Malvaceae
Description: long non-coding RNA (GBAR_LNC004475)
Source: RNAcentral
CGUUACUUUACUAAUCGGUGAAAAGCACCGAUUUCUAUUCCCCCCUUCUGCCCAGAUUAGGUGACGCUUCAGCAAACCCUCCCUCUUUUACCCUCCCCCGAUCCCCUUUGUUUCUCUUCUGUUUUCCACCUUCAUCUGAUUUGCUUCCUUGUUUCAUUGCUUUUCUUUUCUGCCGAUUUGGUCCCAGUUUAUUUUCUUGCCUUUUCCUUUGUUUUCUUUCGUUUUCCCUCUCUUUCUCUCUAUUUUCUUUCAUAAUACUCGGAGCGUAAAAAGA